This 450-nucleotide ribosomal RNA is filed under the name uncultured bacterium. RNAcentral describes it as "bacterial SSU rRNA". It matches the Rfam family "Bacterial small subunit ribosomal RNA", at positions 1077 to 1526 of the family's 1533-position model. The record is from RNAcentral.
GGGUUAAGUCCCUCAACGAGUGCAACCCUUGAGCAGAGUCGCCAGCACUUCAAGGUGGACACUUUAGAAUGACGGCCGGUGACAAACCGGAGGAAGGCGCGGAUGACGUCAAAUCAUCAUGCCCCCUAUGACCUGGGCUACACACGUACUACAAUGGCUGGUACAACGGGCUGUGAAGGAGCGAUCCAGAGCGAAUCCUAUAAAGCCGGUCUCAGUUCGGAUUGGAGGCUGCAACUCGCCUCCAUGAAGUCGGAAUUGCUAGUAAUCGCGGAUCAGCAUGCCGCGGUGAAUACGUUCCCGGGUCUUGUACACACCGCCCGUCACACCACGAGAGUUUACAACACCCGAAGCCGGUGGGGUAACCGCAAGGAGCCAGCCGUCGAAGGUGGGGUAGAUGAUUGGGGUGAAGUCGUAACAAGGUAGCCGUAUCGGAAGGUGCGGCUGGAUCAC